UACGGGGGGGGCAAGCGUUGUUCGGAAUUACUGGGCGUAAAGGGUUUGUAGGUGGCUUGCUCAGUCAGACGUGAAAUCCCUCAGCUUAACUGGGGAACUGCGUCUGAUACUAGCGAGCUUGAGUGCAGGAGAGGAACGCGGAAUUCCAGGUGUAGCGGUGAAAUGCGUAGAUAUCUGGAGGAACACCGGUGGCGAAGGCGGCGUUCUGGACUGCAACUGACACUGAAAAACGAAAGCCAGGGGAGCAAACGGG
Molecule: ribosomal RNA, 253 nt
Filed under: uncultured bacterium
Lineage: Bacteria
Description: partial 16S ribosomal RNA
Rfam family: Bacterial small subunit ribosomal RNA
Source: RNAcentral